This is a long non-coding RNA of Trifolium pratense (red clover), 587 nucleotides long. RefSeq lists it as uncharacterized. The record is from RefSeq and is a predicted model, not a curated record. NCBI's taxonomy places the organism in Eukaryota, Viridiplantae, Streptophyta, Magnoliopsida, Fabales, Fabaceae. The transcript has 2 exons.
CCUUUCUGAUCAUCAGGUUAGAUCAUUUCCUAAAAGGACAAACACAAUACAUUGAAGCUUGAGAGAUAUUUAAUAAUAAUUUUCUUUUAGGAAGUGUUUUUACAACACCAUAAGAGCUAAACACUAUUUAAUUAAAGUAAGGAAAUGAUGAGAUGUAAAGAUUAUAAAUAGAACCAUUUGUUACAUGCAAAUGAGAGAAACAUGGCUGAAAUUAUUAAGUUUGUUUGUUUUAUGAUUAUCUUUCUUUUCCUAAUUUUUGUUGCAAAGAACGUUGAAGCAACAAGAUGUUACACAGACGCUGAUUGUCCAAAAGAUUCGUGCCCCAAAGCUCGUACGAAACCAAAGUGUGUCGCUUUCGUAUGUAGAUGUGUUCCAAUAAUUUAUCCAGAUAAAUAGUGUCAAAACGAAGAGAGUCCACAAAUGUUGUACUUGAAUAUUUCAUGAGUUAUAAUUUGCUUGUUGAAUGUCAUGCAAUAAUUUGAUUUUAUUUUUGCUUUUGUUUUUCUAGUUUCAAGAACCUCAUCAUUAUGGAUUUGUAAUCUUAGUAAUGUUAAUGAAAUGAAAUAAGGUAGCAAUAAUAUUAUUUA